AUUGAACGCUGGCGGCAUGCCUUACACAUGCAAGUCGAACGGCAGCACGGGUGCUUGCACCUGGUGGCGAGUGGCGAACGGGUGAGUAAUACAUCGGAACGUACCUUAUCGUGGGGGAUAACGCAGCGAAAGCUGUGCUAAUACCGCAUACGCCCUGAGGGGGAAAGCGGGGGAUCGAAAGACCUCGCGCGAUUAGAGCGGCCGAUGCCUGAUUAGCUUGUUGGUGGGGUAAAAGCCCACCAAGGCGACGAUCAGUAGCUGGUAUGAGAGGACGCGACGCCACACUGGGACUGAGACUCGGCCCAUACUCCUACGGGAGGAAGCAGUGGGGAAUUGUGGACAAUGGGGGCAACCCGGGGCCAGCAAUGCCGCGUGAGUGAAGAAGGCCUUCGGGUUGUAAAGCUCUAUUGUCAGGGAAGAAACACCGGCUCUAACACAGUCCGGGAAUGACGGUACCUGAAGAAUAAGCACCGGCUAACUACGUGCCAGCCGCCGCAGUAA
RNAcentral lists this ribosomal RNA (501 nucleotides) under uncultured bacterium. RNAcentral's name for it is "partial 16S ribosomal RNA". It matches the Rfam family "Bacterial small subunit ribosomal RNA", at positions 29 to 523 of the family's 1533-position model. The record is from RNAcentral.